Molecule: ribosomal RNA, 253 nt
Filed under: uncultured bacterium
Lineage: Bacteria
Also listed under: 1 other name
Description: partial 16S ribosomal RNA
Rfam family: Bacterial small subunit ribosomal RNA
Source: RNAcentral
GACGAACCGUGCGAACGUUGUUCGGAAUCACUGGGCUUAAAGGGCGCGUAGGCGGGUUGCCGCGUCCGGGGUGAAAUCCCACCGCUCAACGGUGGAACGGCCCCGGAUACGGGCGGCCUCGAGGGGGGUAGGGGCGGGCGGAACUAUGCGUGGAGCGGUGAAAUGCGUUGAUAUGCAUAGGAACUCCGGUGGCGAAGGCGGCCCGCUGGACCCCAUCUGACGCUGAGGCGCGAAAGCCAGGGGAGCGAACGGG